This 255-nucleotide ribosomal RNA is filed under the name uncultured bacterium. Its description in RNAcentral is "partial 16S ribosomal RNA". It matches the Rfam family "Bacterial small subunit ribosomal RNA", at positions 524 to 776 of the family's 1533-position model. The record is from RNAcentral.
UACGAAGGGGGCUAGCGUUGCUCGGAAUCACUGGGCGUAAAGCGCACGUAGGCGGACAUUUAAGUCAGGGGUGAAAUCCCGGGGGCUCAACCCCGGAACUGCCUUUGAUACUGGGUGUCUUGAGUCCGGAAGAGGUGAGUGGAAUUGCGAGUGUAGAGGUGAAAUUCGUAGAUAUUCGCAGGAACACCAGUGGCGAAGGCGGCUCACUGGACCGGUAUUGACGCUGAGGUGCGAAAGCGUGGGGGAGCAAACAGG